CAGUCGCCGCGGUAAUACAGAGGGUGCGAGCGUUAAUCGGAUUUACUGGGCGUAAAGCGUGCGUAGGCGGCUUUUUAAGUCGGAUGUGAAAUCCCUGAGCUUAACUUAGGAAUUGCAUUCGAUACUGGGAAGCUAGAGUAUGGGAGAGGAUGGUAGAAUUCCAGGUGUAGCGGUGAAAUGCGUAGAGAUCUGGAGGAAUACCGAUGGCGAAGGCAGCCAUCUGGCCUAAUACUGACGCUGAGGUACGAAAGCAUGGGGAGCAAACAGGAUUAGAUAUCCCAGUAGUCCCUGUCUCUUAUAC
RNAcentral lists this ribosomal RNA (301 nucleotides) under uncultured bacterium. RNAcentral describes it as "partial 16S ribosomal RNA". It matches the Rfam family "Bacterial small subunit ribosomal RNA", at positions 509 to 807 of the family's 1533-position model. The record is from RNAcentral.